RNAcentral lists this ribosomal RNA (502 nucleotides) under uncultured bacterium. RNAcentral's name for it is "partial 16S ribosomal RNA". It matches the Rfam family "Bacterial small subunit ribosomal RNA", at positions 28 to 507 of the family's 1533-position model. The record is from RNAcentral.
GACGAACGCUGGCGGCGUGCCUAAUACAUGCAAGUCGAACGAACCGCGACUAAGUGCUUGCACUAAGUCAAGGUGAGUGGCGAACGGGUGAGUAACACGUGGGUAACCUACCUCAUAGUGGGGGAUAACAGUCGGAAACGACUGCUAAUACCGCAUAGGACAUAGGAUCACAUGAUCCAGUGAGGAAAGGUGGCGCAAGCUAUCGCUAAGAGAUGGACCCGCGGUGCAUUAGCUAGUUGGUAGGGUAAAGGCCUACCAAGGCGAUGAUGCAUAGCCGACCUGAGAGGGUGAUCGGCCACAUUGGGACUGAGACACGGCCCAAACUCCUACGGGAGGCAGCAGUAGGGAAUCUUCCGCAAUGGACGCAAGUCUGACGGAGCAACGCCGCGUGAGUGAAGAAGGUCUUCGGAUCGUAAAGCUCUGUAGUUAGAGAAGAACAGCGCAUAGAGUAACUGCUAUGCGUGUGACGGUAUCUAACCAGAAAGCCACGGCUAACUACGUG